This 458-nucleotide ribosomal RNA is filed under the name uncultured bacterium. RNAcentral describes it as "bacterial SSU rRNA". It matches the Rfam family "Bacterial small subunit ribosomal RNA", at positions 339 to 794 of the family's 1533-position model. The record is from RNAcentral.
CUACGGGAGGCAGCAGUGAGGAAUAUUGGACAAUGGGCGCAAGCCUGAUCCAGCAACGCCGCGUGAACGAUGAAGCUGCUCUGCAGUGUAAAGUUCUGUAAGGAGGGACGAAGACCGGGGUAUGGCCCCGGGGGGACGGUACCUCUUAAGUAAGCACCGGCUAACUCCGUGCCAGCAGCCGCGGUAAUACGGGGGGUGCAAGCGUUGUCCGGAUUUAUUGGGCGUAAAGGGCUCGUAGGCGGGAUGGUAAGUCUGGCGUGAAAUCUCCCGGCUCAACCGGGACACUGCGCUGGAAACUGCCGUUCUUGAGUCACGGAGAGGAAGUUGGAAUUCCUGGUGUAGCGGUGGAAUGCGUAGAUAUCAGGAAGAACACCAAUAGCGAAGGCAAACUUCUGGCCGUCGACUGACGCUGAGGAGCGACAGCGUGGGGAGCGAACAGGAUUAGAUACCCCGGUAGC